Molecule: ribosomal RNA, 524 nt
Filed under: uncultured bacterium
Lineage: Bacteria
Description: bacterial SSU rRNA
Rfam family: Bacterial small subunit ribosomal RNA
Source: RNAcentral
UGGGGAAUAUUGGACAAUGGACCAAAAGUCUGAUCCAGCAAUUCUGUGUGCACGAUGACGUUUUUCGGAAUGUAAAGUGCUUUCAGUUGGGAAGAAAAAAAUGACGGUACCAACAGAAGAAGUGACGGCUAAAUACGUGCCAGCAGCCGCGGUAAUACGUAUGUCACAAGCGUUAUCCGGAUUUAUUGGGCGUAAAGCGCGUCUAGGUGGUUAUGUAAGUCUGAUGUGAAAAUGCAGGGCUCAACCCUGUAUUGCGUUGGAAACUGCAUGACUAGAGUACUGGAGAGGUAAGCGGAACUACAAGUGUAGAGGUGAAAUUCGUAGAUAUUUGUAGGAAUGCCGAUGGGGAAGCCAGCUUACUGGACAGAUACUGACGCUAAAGCGCGAAAGCGUGGGUAGCAAACAGGAUUAGAUACCCUGGUAGUCCACGCCGUAAACGAUGAUUACUAGGUGUUGGGGGUCGAACCUCAGCGCCCAAGCUAACGCGAUAAGUAAUCCGCCUGGGGAGUACGUACGCAAGUAUG